RNAcentral lists this long non-coding RNA (1057 nucleotides) under Macaca nemestrina (pig-tailed macaque). RNAcentral describes it as "lncRNA (ENSMNEG00000046191.1)". The record is from RNAcentral. Lineage: Eukaryota; Metazoa; Chordata; Mammalia; Primates; Cercopithecidae.
CUUUGAAGAAGAAAUGACAUUUGACCUAUACCUUGAAGGAUGGAUAGGAAUUUCCAGUUGGAGAAUGGAAGAAAGCACAUUCCAAGCAUUGGAGCACUAUGAAGAGAAGGGAGCAAGUUUGAAUCCAUGAAUGAGUGGAAAGCAGAGAAUAAUGUAUUUGAAUGUUGAGGUGCUUUGAAGGAAGUUGCAGACGAUGAAGCUGGAAGGAUAGUCUUUGGUUAUAUUUUACAGGAGACUGUGGAAAAUUAGUGAUUAUAGUUUAUACAGAAAUAUUUUUCUACAUCUUUAUAAACUGCUUUUUCCAUAUUUUGUAGAUUUAUGACAAAGUCCAGUUUUCAACAAUGCUGGAAUCAAAUGAUUGCUUGUUUUCCUUGGAUAAUUUGUUUUUUGAAAAACCAGAUGAAGUUGAAAAGUCAGGAAAAGAGGCCAAAAAUGUUAACAUCAAAUUUAAAGAUAACUAAUGAAGACACAAAUUAUAUUUCGCAAAGAUAACUAAUGAAGACACAAAUUAUAUUUUGCCAACACAAAAAUUCCAAUUUGCCUUUCCUUCUAAUAAAUAUGAACAGGAUGAUCUAAAUUUAGAAGGGGUAGGUAAAAAUGACUUAUCACAUGUUGCUGGCAAGCUGACAUAUGGUUCUCAGAAAUAUAAAAAUCACAUUGGCACUGAGAUAGCACCUGAGAAGAGUGUUCCUGAUGAUACAAAAUUAGUUAAUUUUGCAGAAGAUAAAGGAGAGAGCACAUCAGUAUUCUGGAAAAUGUAAUUAUUAUAAUUAAACCAAAUAAUAUUCUGUGAAUAAAUUUGAAUAUUUGUACAUCUAAAAGUAUUAAAUAUGGUAGAAUGUGAAUGAGAAAAACAGCAAAAUUCUAUCUCCUAAAUAAUUCCUUACUUUCUGCAUUCCUGGUGUCAUAGUCCUUGUGCUACACAUAAAAAUAACCAUAAUUGUAAUAUUUAACUGUCUACUACAAAUGGUACCACAAUAGUCCAGGUGGGACACAGGAAUCUUCAUUUUGAACAAAUUUUCUAGGUGAUUAUUAUGCAUACAAAAGUUCGAGGCCC